RNAcentral lists this ribosomal RNA (2342 nucleotides) under Laemophloeus sp. BYU CO753. RNAcentral describes it as "eukaryotic LSU rRNA". It matches the Rfam family "Eukaryotic large subunit ribosomal RNA", at positions 44 to 1863 of the family's 3401-position model. The record is from RNAcentral. Lineage: Eukaryota; Metazoa; Arthropoda; Insecta; Coleoptera; Laemophloeidae.
UAUUAAGCGGAGGAAAAGAAACUAACUAGGAUUCCCUCAGUAGCUGCGAGCGAACAGGGAUAAGCCCAGCACCGAAUCCCGCGGCCGACACCGGACGCCGGGAAAUGUGGUGUUUGGGAGGAUUCAUAAUCACGAGGUUUGGUGUUGCGUCCAAGUCCUUCUUGAACGGGGCCACAGCCCAUAGAGGGUGCCAGGCCCGUAGUGACCAAUACCAAUCGCGUGAGAAUCUCUCCUUAGAGUCGGGUUGCUUGAGAGUGCAGCCCUAAGUGGGUGGUAAACUCCAUCUAAGGCUAAAUAUAACCACGAGACCGAUAGCGAACAAGUACCGUGAGGGAAAGUUGAAAAGCACUUUGAAGAGAGAGUUCAAGAGUACGUGAAACCGUUCAGGGGUAAACCUGAGAAACCCGAAAGGUCGAAAGGGGAAAUUCAUUCGUAUCUCGAUAUUGGCAUCAGGUGAUUGCAUGACAAUUGUUAUCUUGUAUAAUGGUUGCAUCCUUUGUUUGAUGAACUGGUGUCGAAUGCGUGCACUUUUCCCCAAGUAGGACGCCGCGAUCCGUUGUGUGUCGGUCUAAGGCCCAUGGUGGAGCCCAUUUGGAUGGCAUUCUGUGUCAUUGUUCCGAAUGGACCCGUGGUGUUUCCCGGCCGACUUGCACGACGGUAUACAGAUGGCGCAGAGCCGCGACUUAAGUUCGCGUUCGGCCCAUGGCAAGCACGCCAUGGUGUGUUGGCGAUCGGACCUAGUGCCGUUCCCGGCCCCUGGUGACUGUUGGCUGUGGUGUUCUCGAACAGACUCUGUAAUAUGAAACGCCGAUCUGCGGCGCUAUAGCUUUGGGUACUUUCAGGACCCGUCUUGAAACACGGACCAAGGAGUCUAGCAUGUGCGCGAGUCAUUGGGAGAUAACUAAACCUAAAGGCGCAAUGAAAGUGAAUGUUUGUCUUGCACAAACAUAGGGAGGAUGGGUGGUUUGCCCAUAAAGUGGCCACUCCGCACUCCCGGGGCGUCUCAUUCUUAUUGCAAGAAGAGGCGCACCAAGAGCGUACACGCUGGGACCCGAAAGAUGGUGAACUAUGCCUGGUCAGGACGAAGUCAGGGGAAACCCUGAUGGAGGUCCGUAGCGAUUCUGACGUGCAAAUCGAUCGUCGGAACUGGGUAUAGGGGCGAAAGACUAAUCGAACCAUCUAGUAGCUGGUUCCCUCCGAAGUUUCCCUCAGGAUAGCUGGCGCUCAUUGCGCACGAGUCUCAUCCGGUAAAGCGAAUGAUUAGAGGCAUUGGGGUCGAAACGACCUCAACCUAUUCUCAAACUUUAAAUGGGUGAGAUCUCCGGCUUGCUUAAAUAUUUGAAGCCGUGAGAUUUCGGAUCAGAGUGCCAAGUGGGCCAUUUUUGGUAAGCAGAACUGGCGCUGUGGGAUGAACCAAACGCUGAGUUAAAGCGCCUAAAUCGACGCUUAUGGGAUACCAUGAAAGGCGUUGGUAACUUAAGACAGCAGGACGGUGGCCAUGGAAGUCGGAAUCCGCCAAGGAGUGUGUAACAACUCACCUGCCGAAGUUACUAGCCCUGAAAAUGGAUGGCGCUGAAGCGUCGUGCUUAUACUCAGCCGUCAGUGGCAUGUGCGGUUCAUUUUUUAUGGGCCAUGAAGCUCUGACGAGUAGGAGGGUCGCGGCGGUGAGCGCUGAAGGGCUGGCCGUGAGGCCGUCUGGAGCCGCCGUCGGUGCAGAUCUUGGUGGUAGUAGCAAAUACUCCAGCGAGGCCCUGGAGGACUGACGUGGAGAAGGGUUUCGUGUGAACAGCCGUUGCACACGAGUCAGUCGAUCCUAAGCCCUAGGCGAAAGCCGAUGUUAAUGUGGUGUAUGUUUAUCAAAACAUGUUUUUCAAUUUUUAUUGAAACAGAAAWUUUUUUAAAUAUGCAACAACAAUAUAUAUAUAAAUAUGUCUUUACACAAAUAAAGAUAUGUGUAUGUGUGUUGAGCAUGUAAAUUUUUUUUGUUAUAGAAAUUUUACAAGAACYUGUGUUAUACACAUAUGAACACACCCAUUGGGCGAAAGGGAAUCCGGUUCCUAUUCCGGAACCCGGUAGCGGAACCGUUUAAAAGUCGGGCCCUCGCAAGAGAGUUCGUCGGGGUAACCCAAAAGGACCCGGAGACGCCGUCGGGAGAUCCGGAAAGAGUUUUCUUUUCUGUAUGAGCGUUCGAGUUCCAUGGAAUCCUCUAGCAGGGAGAUAUGGUUUGGAACGCGAAGAGCACCGCAGUUGCAGCGGUGUCCGGAUCUUCCCCUCGGACCUUGAAAAUCCGGGAGAGGGCCACGUGGAGGUGUCGCACCGGUUCGUACCCAUAUCCGCAGCAG